Molecule: ribosomal RNA, 316 nt
Filed under: uncultured eukaryote
Lineage: Eukaryota
Description: partial 18S ribosomal RNA
Rfam family: Eukaryotic small subunit ribosomal RNA
Source: RNAcentral
CCCUUAGACGUUCUGGGCCGCACGCGUGCUACACUGACCGGUGCAACAAGUUUCUUUCCUUGGCUCGAUAGGCCUGGGUAAUCUUUGAACACCGGUCGUGAUGGGGAUAGAUCCUUGCAAUUUUUGAUCUUCAACGAGGAAUUCCUAGUAAAUGCGAGUCAUCAUCUCGCGUUGAUUACGUCCCUGCCCUUUGUACACACCGCCCGUCGCACCUACCGAUUGAAUGGUCCGGUGAAGCCUCCGGAUUGGCGCGCACCUCGGUGCCGCCGAGAAGUUGGCUAAACCUUACCAUUUAGAGGAAGGUGAAGUCGUANCA